RNAcentral lists this ribosomal RNA (496 nucleotides) under uncultured bacterium. Its description in RNAcentral is "partial 16S ribosomal RNA". It matches the Rfam family "Bacterial small subunit ribosomal RNA", at positions 28 to 523 of the family's 1533-position model. The record is from RNAcentral.
GAUGAACGCUAGCGGCAGGCCUAAUACAUGCAAGUCGAACGGGAUUAAGGAGCUUGCUUCUUAUGAGAGUGGCGCACGGGUGCGUAAGACGUAUGCAACCUACCUUCAACUGGGGGAUAGCCUUCAGAAAGGGAGAUGAAUACCGCAUAACAUAAUUGCGUGGCAUCACUUGAUUAUCAAACGUCAGGGUUGAAGAUGGGCAUGCGUGGGAUUAGUUAGUUGGUGAGGGAACGGCUAACCAAGGCUACGAUCGGUAGGGGAUCUGAGAGGAUGGACCCCCACACUGGUACUGAGACACGGACCAGACUCCUACGGGAGGCAGCAGUAAGGAAUAUUGGUCAAUGGACGGAAGUCUGAACCAGCCAUGCCGCGUGCAGGAAGACGGUCCUCUGGAUUGUAAACUGCUUUUGUUAGGGAAGAAACUUCCGUACGUGUACGGGACUGACGGUACCUAAAGAAUAAGGAUCGGCUAACUCCGUGCCAGCAGCCGCCGUAA